ACUCGCGGCGACCGGCGCACGGGUGCGUAACGCGUAUGCAACCUACCUUUAACAGGGGCAUAACACUGAGAAAUUGGUACUAAUUCCCCAUAACAUUCGAGAAGGCAUCUUCUUGGGUUAAAAACUCCGGUGGUUAAAGAUGGGCAUGCGUUGUAUUAGCUAGUUGGUGAGGUAACGGCUCACCAAGGCAACGAUACAUAGGGGGACUGAGAGGUUAACCCCCCACAUUGGUACUGAGACACGGACCAA
RNAcentral lists this ribosomal RNA (249 nucleotides) under uncultured bacterium. RNAcentral describes it as "partial 16S ribosomal RNA". It matches the Rfam family "Bacterial small subunit ribosomal RNA", at positions 84 to 334 of the family's 1533-position model. The record is from RNAcentral.